Molecule: transfer RNA, 74 nt
Filed under: Lewinella sp.
Lineage: Bacteria; Pseudomonadati; Bacteroidota; Saprospiria; Saprospirales; Lewinellaceae
Also listed under: 1 other name
Description: tRNA-Val
Rfam family: tRNA
About the family: Transfer RNA (tRNA) molecules are approximately 80 nucleotides in length. Their secondary structure includes four short double-helical elements and three loops (D, anti-codon, and T loops).
Source: RNAcentral
GGCUCUGUAGCUCAACUGGAUAGAGCAUCCCGACAACGUCGGGAAGGUUUAAGCUUCGAAUCCUUACAGAGUCA